Equus caballus (horse) is the source of this 1881-nucleotide non-coding RNA. Lineage: Eukaryota; Metazoa; Chordata; Mammalia; Perissodactyla; Equidae. The record is from RefSeq and is a predicted model, not a curated record.
CGUCGAGGUGACGCGCCAACUUAAUCGCAUCUGACGUCACGUCUGGUCGUCUUGGAUCGCUGGCUGCGAUUGGCCAGGCUUGCCUGGGGGAUCCCCUGCUAAUUGGGUGUCCAGGUUGCCUGUUCUGACUACCUGGAGUCGGAGCCCCGGCGCUGUGGGGGGUAGUAGUGGAGAGUCGGGAGAGUAGGGGAGAGUCUCUUGCUGCGCUGGUGGUCCUCAGAGAGGAGGACCCCCGCCUCACAUGUGUGGCCAAGUAAGGACUUCAUCCCCCGACGGCUGCAGAAGCUUGUGGAGCUGAGUGUGUGCGUGUGAGGGAAGACGCAGUAGGUGGAGUCACUGGAGAGCUUCUCCUCAAAACUCAGUUUAGCGCUGUUGUGGAGCAGAUGGAAUGGAGGAGGACCUUUUUCUUCGUCCUUUCGCCUUAAACUUGACAUUACAGAGUCGACCCUGGGCUUUCGGAGUUGUACUGGAUUGUGUGGAGCAUCUUAAGUUCCACACCAAGCCUAAGGCUGAAACGCCUUUGGUGGGCAUAGUAUUAUAGAGAAUUGAACUUCAAGGUCUUGCCCACGCCAUGCCCGCUUGUGAUCCCAGAGGAACAUAUUCCGUUCCACUGGGGUUCGCCAGAGGGGCAGGGUUGUGCCUUUGUAUAGGACGUGGAGAGGCACUCUUGGUUGGCGUGGUAUCUCCUUUCAAAGGACCGUAGAAGAGUAGAACUGGCCUUGACCUAAAUUAAAAGAGACAUCGCCACUCUCGUUCUCCGGCUCUGUUUGAGCUCCCUUCAUGGUCACAAGAUGACUGCAGCAACUCCAGCUAUCACAAACUCACACCAACGCCCAGAGACUUCUUGGAAUGUUGGCGGUUUGGUCCAGUUUGGAAGAUCCUGGAGGAUUAAAGUGAACUACUGCAAACUCCACCAAGUAAUAACCCAAUUGCAGCUGCUGUGCCAGAUGUAUCUUUGCUAGAACAGAUCAACACAGCCUCAGAUCUGAAGGCCAGAAGUUCCAGACCAAGGUCCAGCAGGAUCAGUUUCUGGGCAUCAAUCAGCACCACUAUCCCACAUCUUGGAGAGUGUUUGAUCUACCAGCAUGGAAUCUAUAUAACGUUGUCUCAAACCAAGGAACCCUUUUCACAGCAAAGGAGAUGUGGAAGUGGAUACAUGAUCAUAGGAUCUGCUGGCCUUUUCAAAUACCACACCACCCAGAAGCUGCCUGUCUAGUCGAGUGAUAGAAUGACCUUGUAAAAGCACAAAUGAGAUCCUAGCUUGGAAACAAUAAGCUGUAAGGAUGGAGUGCCAAGAGACAAGCAGUUAAGAAAAGGAGUUACCAUCCUGGCAGGAGUAAUUGACCCUGAAGAGAAAGCAGCAGCAGCAUUUACUGGGUACUGACUCACUGCUUGGGAGUUUCUUCACCAUUACUCUCUCUGAACCCUGAUGUCUUAGAGAUUCAGCCAAAGGAACGUCUGUCCUCGCAUAUUAUCUUUAUUACUGAACAGGCAGUGUCUGCCCUGGACCUUGUCUAGGAAAACUGGAUAAGAGGUGAGAUUCCUGAGGCCUUACCCUCAGGGUGAUGUUCUACCCUUCCAAGACUUUCCUUGCACUCGUUGUCCCUGUGCUUGAUUGCCUCACAUUCUUCAGCAGUUUUCUUCUUCUUCUGUUCACUUCCAGCUCCAUCUAUUCAUGGAACAGUUACUGAGCCUCUACCAUGAGAAGGCACAUACUGGAGAGACACUGUAUUAGCCAUGGUUCUCAGAGAAAUAGAAUCAAUAGAUAUAGGGUGUAUAUGUGACACAAGAUAGAUAUGUAUAUAUAUAUAUAUAUAUAUAUAGCUACACCCCCGCCUCAUAGGGUCAAUCAAUCUAUCUUUCCAUCUUUCUAUCUAUCUA